This 2901-nucleotide ribosomal RNA is filed under the name Klebsiella pneumoniae. RNAcentral's name for it is "23S ribosomal RNA". It matches the Rfam family "Bacterial large subunit ribosomal RNA". Lineage: Bacteria; Pseudomonadati; Pseudomonadota; Gammaproteobacteria; Enterobacterales; Enterobacteriaceae. The record is from RNAcentral.
GGUUAAGCGACUAAGCGUACACGGUGGAUGCCCUGGCAGUCAGAGGCGAUGAAGGACGUGCUAAUCUGCGAAAAGCGUCGGUAAGGUGAUAUGAACCGUUAUAACCGGCGAUGUCCGAAUGGGGAAACCCAGUGCAAUUCGUUGCACUAUCGUUAACUGAAUACAUAGGUUAACGAGGCGAACCGGGGGAACUGAAACAUCUAAGUACCCCGAGGAAAAGAAAUCAACCGAGAUUCCCCCAGUAGCGGCGAGCGAACGGGGAGCAGCCCAGAGUCUGAAUCAGCUUGUGUGUUAGUGGAACGGUCUGGAAAGUCCGACGGUACAGGGUGAUAGUCCCGUACACCAAAAUGCACAGGCUGUGAACUCGAAGAGUAGGGCGGGACACGUGGUAUCCUGUCUGAAUAUGGGGGGACCAUCCUCCAAGGCUAAAUACUCCUGACUGACCGAUAGUGAACCAGUACCGUGAGGGAAAGGCGAAAAGAACCCCGGCGAGGGGAGUGAAAAAGAACCUGAAACCGUGUACGUACAAGCAGUGGGAGCACCUUCGGGUGUGACUGCGUACCUUUUGUAUAAUGGGUCAGCGACUUAUAUUCUGUAGCAAGGUUAACCGUAUAGGGGAGCCGCAGGGAAACCGAGUCUUAACUGGGCGUUAAGUUGCAGGGUAUAGACCCGAAACCCGGUGAUCUAGCCAUGGGCAGGUUGAAGGUUGGGUAACACUAACUGGAGGACCGAACCGACUAAUGUUGAAAAAUUAGCGGAUGACUUGUGGCUGGGGGUGAAAGGCCAAUCAAACCGGGAGAUAGCUGGUUCUCCCCGAAAGCUAUUUAGGUAGCGCCUCGUGAACUCAUCUUCGGGGGUAGAGCACUGUUUCGGCUAGGGGUCAUCCCGACUUACCAACCCGAUGCAAACUACGAAUACCGAAGAAUGUUAUCACGGGAGACACACGGCGGGUGCUAACGUCCGUCGUGAAGAGGGAAACAACCCAGACCGCCAGCUAAGGUCCCAAAGUCAUGGUUAAGUGGGAAACGAUGUGGGAAGGCACAGACAGCCAGGAUGUUGGCUUAGAAGCAGCCAUCAUUUAAAGAAAGCGUAAUAGCUCACUGGUCGAGUCGGCCUGCGCGGAAGAUGUAACGGGGCUAAACCAUGCACCGAAGCUGCGGCAGCGACACUAUGUGUUGUUGGGUAGGGGAGCGUUCUGUAAGCCUGCGAAGGUGUGCUGUGAGGCAUGCUGGAGGUAUCAGAAGUGCGAAUGCUGACAUAAGUAACGAUAAAGCGGGUGAAAAGCCCGCUCGCCGGAAGACCAAGGGUUCCUGUCCAACGUUAAUCGGGGCAGGGUGAGUCGACCCCUAAGGCGAGGCCGAAAGGCGUAGUCGAUGGGAAACAGGUUAAUAUUCCUGUACUUGGUGUUACUGCGAAGGGGGGACGGAGAAGGCUAUGUUAGCCGGGCGACGGUUGUCCCGGUUUAAGCAUGUAGGCUGAUUGUCCAGGCAAAUCCGGAUAAUCAAGGCUGAGGUGUGAUGACGAGGCACUACGGUGCUGAAGUAACAAAUGCCCUGCUUCCAGGAAAAGCCUCUAAGCAUCAGGUAACAUUAAAUCGUACCCCAAACCGACACAGGUGGUCAGGUAGAGAAUACCAAGGCGCUUGAGAGAACUCGGGUGAAGGAACUAGGCAAAAUGGUGCCGUAACUUCGGGAGAAGGCACGCUGGUGUGUAGGUGAAGUCCCUGCGGAUGGAGCUGAGACCAGUCGAAGAUACCAGCUGGCUGCAACUGUUUAUUAAAAACACAGCACUGUGCAAACACGAAAGUGGACGUAUACGGUGUGACGCCUGCCCGGUGCCGGAAGGUUAAUUGAUGGGGUUAUCCGUAAGGAGAAGCUCUUGAUCGAAGCCCCGGUAAACGGCGGCCGUAACUAUAACGGUCCUAAGGUAGCGAAAUUCCUUGUCGGGUAAGUUCCGACCUGCACGAAUGGCGUAAUGAUGGCCAGGCUGUCUCCACCCGAGACUCAGUGAAAUUGAACUCGCUGUGAAGAUGCAGUGUACCCGCGGCAAGACGGAAAGACCCCGUGAACCUUUACUAUAGCUUGACACUGAACAUUGAGCCUUGAUGUGUAGGAUAGGUGGGAGGCUUUGAAGCGUGGACGCCAGUCUGCGUGGAGCCAACCUUGAAAUACCACCCUUUAAUGUUUGAUGUUCUAACGUUGGCCCCUGACCGGGGUUGCGGACAGUGUCUGGUGGGUAGUUUGACUGGGGCGGUCUCCUCCCAAAGCGUAACGGAGGAGCACGAAGGUUAGCUAAUCCUGGUCGGACAUCAGGAGGUUAGUGCAAUGGCAUAAGCUAGCUUGACUGCGAGCGUGACGGCGCGAGCAGGUGCGAAAGCAGGUCAUAGUGAUCCGGUGGUUCUGAAUGGAAGGGCCAUCGCUCAACGGAUAAAAGGUACUCCGGGGAUAACAGGCUGAUACCGCCCAAGAGUUCAUAUCGACGGCGGUGUUUGGCACCUCGAUGUCGGCUCAUCACAUCCUGGGGCUGAAGUAGGUCCCAAGGGUAUGGCUGUUCGCCAUUUAAAGUGGUACGCGAGCUGGGUUUAGAACGUCGUGAGACAGUUCGGUCCCUAUCUGCCGUGGGCGCUGGAGAAUUGAGGGGGGCUGCUCCUAGUACGAGAGGACCGGAGUGGACGCAUCACUGGUGUUCGGGUUGUCAUGCCAAUGGCACUGCCCGGUAGCUAAAUGCGGAAGAGAUAAGUGCUGAAAGCAUCUAAGCACGAAACUUGCCCCGAGAUGAGUUCUCCCUGAGACUUUAAGUCUCCUGAAGGAACGUUAAAGACGAUGACGUUGAUAGGCCGGGUGUGUAAGCGCAGCGAUGCGUUGAGCUAACCGGUACUAAUGAACCGUGAGGCUUAACCUU